UACGUAGGGGGCUAGCGUUGUCCGGAAUCAUUGGGCGUAAAGAGCGUGUAGGCGGCCCGGUAAGUCCGCUGUAAAAGUCAAAGGCUCAACCUUUGAAUGUCAGUGGAUACUGCCGGGCUAGAGUCCGGAAGAGGCGAGUGGAACUCCUGGUGUAGCGGUGGAAUGCGCAGAUAUCAGGAAGAACACCAACGGCGAAGGCAGCUCGCUGGGACGGUACUGACGCUGAGACGCGCAAGCGUGGGGAGCAAACAGG
RNAcentral lists this ribosomal RNA (253 nucleotides) under uncultured bacterium. RNAcentral's name for it is "partial 16S ribosomal RNA". It matches the Rfam family "Bacterial small subunit ribosomal RNA", at positions 524 to 776 of the family's 1533-position model. The record is from RNAcentral.